GUGCUCACUUUGACAGCACAUAUACUAAAAUUGGAAUGACACAGAGAAGAUUACCAUGGGUCCUGUCCAAGGAUGACAUUCAAAAUCGUCAAGUCUUCCAUAUUUUU
Molecule: small nuclear RNA, 107 nt
Organism: Cynocephalus volans (Philippine flying lemur)
Lineage: Eukaryota; Metazoa; Chordata; Mammalia; Dermoptera; Cynocephalidae
Source: RefSeq, a predicted model, not a curated record